CCGAAACCCGGUGAUCUAGCCAUGGGCAGGUUGAAGGUUGGGUAACACUAACUGGAGGACCGAACCGACUAAUGUUGAAAAAUUAGCGGAUGACUUGUGGCUGGGGGUGAAAGGCCAAUCAAACCGGGAGAUAGCUGGUUCUCCCCGAAAGCUAUUUAGGUAGCGCCUCGUGAAUUCAUCUCCGGGGGUAGAGCACUGUUUCGGCAAGGGGGUCAUCCCGACUUACCAACCCGAUGCAAACUGCGAAUACCGGAGAAUGUUAUCACGGGAGACACACGGCGGGUGCUAACGUCCGUCGUGAAGAGGGAAACAACCCAGACCGCCAGCUAAGGUCCCAAAGUCAUGGUUAAGUGGGAAACGAUGUGGGAAGGCCCAGACAGCCAGGAUGUUGGCUUAGAAGCAGCCAUCAUUUAAAGAAAGCGUAAUAGCUCACUGGUCGAGUCGGCCUGCGCGGAAGAUGUAACGGGGCUAAACCAUGCACCGAAGCUGCGGCAGCGACACUGUGUGUUGUUGGGUAGGGGAGCGU
Molecule: ribosomal RNA, 526 nt
Filed under: Escherichia coli
Lineage: Bacteria; Pseudomonadati; Pseudomonadota; Gammaproteobacteria; Enterobacterales; Enterobacteriaceae
Description: partial 23S ribosomal RNA
Rfam family: Bacterial large subunit ribosomal RNA
Source: RNAcentral